GACGAACGCUGGCGGCAUGCCUAAUACAUGCAAGUCGAACGAUGAUAUCACUGCUUGCCGUGAUUGAUUAGUGGCGAACGGGUGAGUAACACGUGAGGAACUUGCCCAUGAGCGGGGGACAACAUUCGGAAACGGAUGCUAAUACCCCAUAGGUGGAUUGGUCGCAUGACGAAUUCAUUAAAGGUGGCUCUGCUACCACUCAUGGAUAGCCUCGCGGCGUAUUAGCUAGUUGGUAAGGUAAUGGCUUACCAAGGCAGUGAUACGUAGCCGACUUGAGAGGGUGAUCGGCCACACUGGGACUGAGACACGGCCCAGACUCCUACGGGAGGCAGCAGUAGGGAAUCUUCCACAAUGGGUGCAAACCUGAUGGAGCAAUGCCGCGUGAGUGAAGAAGGUCUUCGGAUCGUAAAGCGCUGUUGUUAGAGAAGAACACGUGCUAGGUAACUACUAGCACCUUGACGGUAUCUAACCAGAAAGUCACGGCUAACUACGUG
RNAcentral lists this ribosomal RNA (494 nucleotides) under uncultured bacterium. RNAcentral describes it as "partial 16S ribosomal RNA". It matches the Rfam family "Bacterial small subunit ribosomal RNA", at positions 28 to 507 of the family's 1533-position model. The record is from RNAcentral.